This is an RNA transcript of Mus caroli (Ryukyu mouse), 1176 nucleotides long. It is a transcript of the gene named N-acetyltransferase 8F1, with no coding region annotated. NCBI's taxonomy places the organism in Eukaryota, Metazoa, Chordata, Mammalia, Rodentia, Muridae. The record is from RefSeq and is a predicted model, not a curated record.
CACAGCCGAGCGGGCUUCCGUCCAGAGCCGCGCUCCUGAGACCAAGUCGCUCUCCACCCGCGGCCUGGGAGGGCUCGCGACAAACACGGGCAAAGGCACGCGUACUUCGCCCGCAAAACNGUCCGCAGNGAAAGAGCUACAGGGCGGAACUCACCCUGCAUCCUACGUCCGUAUCAGAAGAUCGUCCCCUAGGAAACUUAGCUCUCUACUUCCGGAAGUGCUUAAUGUUUGAUAGGUGGACCGGCGCCGAGGCUCCCAGUUUCCGGUGGGCGUGCUCCUGGCUCUAAUAUGGAAGUGGAGCGGACUCCUAGUACCGCUAGGAGCUGCUGGCGGAGGACAAGGAGAACUAACUCUAUUUUGUUCCGGUUUCGGAGGUGGAAAAGCCCCCACUGGUCGGGCCUAGAAGCUGAGGUAUGGUGGUGUCAGCCUUGUUCUUAGCCUGUGUUGAACACCCUUUUCCUGUGAAAAAGAAAAAUAUUCACCAAGACGGGAGUCACAAUUUAUCAGAGCUUUCGAGACUCAGUUUACCGAGUGUGCUCUUGGGUGGAAACGGGGAUCUGGCGUGGUUGUGGCUUACAUUGAAGGAGCGCUUCCGGUGCUUGGAGAUCUAGAGACAAGUGGACUUUCACAGCUGUGACAGAGGAAAGAGGCAAAUUUCUUGAGCAGACCGGAGGACGCGACGCUGGGAUCAAGUCCCCAGAAGCCAUCCGCCUCAGGGAAUUAUACAAGACCAGGGUGUUUGGACUCAGGCACAUUGGAACUCAGAAUCUAAUUAAUUUCUACUGAUAAUCGACCUUAUACUCCUUCAGAGAUACCUGGGAGGUUAACUCAAAACAAAUGAGAGGGUGUCCGUUUUGUUUCCUUUGCUCAGUGUGAAGUACAAGUGUGUCUUCAUAGUACAGAAUAUGAAAGUGUCCCUAUCUGUCCCCAGUCAUUCUUCACUAUCAGUAGCAUCUCUGAGAUCUGUGUCAUAUGAAAGAUGACAUGCUGACACCAUGCACCUGGUUGGUUGUCAGAAUGACUUCUUUUCUUGUAAGAGAAUUCUCUGGCACAAAAAGAUGUACAUCAGAACAUACCAUAUGUAGCAGGAGCAGCUGUGUCUUGGAGUGAGAAUUUCUGAAAUAUGCUUUGUUCUGAAACAAAUAUAAACAAUAAAAGUCUGAACCAAAGUGAGAA